UGUGAUAAGGGUUCGGUUGUAAAACAGUGUGUGAGAGAAGAAUGACACUGAGAGUACUGUUCAGGGUGUGACGGUUUUUACCAAAAGGAACGGCUAAAUACGUGCCAGCAGCCCGCGGUAAUACGUGUUUCCAGCGUUUUCCGGAUUUAUUGGCGUUAAAGCGAGCGCAGACGGUUGUUUAAGUCUGAAGUGAAAGCCCACAGCUUAACUGUGGAAGUGCUUUGGAAACUGGAUAACUUGAGUGCAGUAGAGGAGAGUGGAACUUCCAUGUGUAGCGGUGAAAUGCGUAGAUAUAUGGAAAGAACACCAGUGGCGAAGGCGGCUCUCUGGACUGUAACUGACGUUGAGGCUCGAAAGUGUGGGUAGCAAACAGGAUUAGAUACCCUGGUAGUCCACACCGUAAACGAUGAGUGCUAGAUGUUUGAGGGUUUCCGCCCUUAAGUGUCGCAGCUAACGCAUUAAGCACUCCGCCUGGGGAGUACGACCGCAAGGUUGAAACUCAAAGGAAUUGACGGGGACCCGCACAAGCGGUGGAGCAUGUGGUUUAAUUCGAAGCAACGCGAAGAACCUUACCAGCUCUUGACAUCCUUUGACCACUUCAGAGAUGAAGCUUUCCCUUCGGGGACAAAGUGACAGGUGGUGCAUGGUUGUCGUCAGCUCGUGUCGUGAGAUGUUGGGUUAAGUCCCGCAACGAGCGCAACCCUUAUUACUAGUUGCCAGCAUUUAGUUGGGCACUCUAGUGAGACUGCCGGUGACAAACCGGAGGAAGGUGGGGAUGACGUCAAAUCAUCAUGCCCCUUAUGAGCUGGGCUACACACGUGCUACAAUGGCAAGUACAACGAGCAGCUAACCCGCGAGGGUACGCGAAUCUCUUAAAACUUGUCUCAGUUCGGAUUGUAGGCUGCAACUCGCCUACAUGAAGUCGGAAUCGCUAGUAAUCGCAGAUCAGCACGCCGCGGUGAAUACGUUCCCGGGCCUUGUACACACCGCCC
Molecule: ribosomal RNA, 992 nt
Filed under: uncultured bacterium
Lineage: Bacteria
Description: bacterial SSU rRNA
Rfam family: Bacterial small subunit ribosomal RNA
Source: RNAcentral